RNAcentral lists this ribosomal RNA (560 nucleotides) under Staphylococcus aureus. RNAcentral's name for it is "bacterial SSU rRNA". It matches the Rfam family "Bacterial small subunit ribosomal RNA", at positions 49 to 591 of the family's 1533-position model. Lineage: Bacteria; Bacillati; Bacillota; Bacilli; Caryophanales; Staphylococcaceae. The record is from RNAcentral.
UAAUACAUGCAAGUCGAGCGAACGGACGAGAAGCUUGCUUCUCUGAUGUUAGCGGCGGACGGGUGAGUAACACGUGGAUAACCUACCUAUAAGACUGGGAUAACUUCGGGAAACCGGAGCUAAUACCGGAUAAUAUUUUGAACCGCAUGGUUCAAAAGUGAAAGACGGUCUUGCUGUCACUUAUAGAUGGAUCCGCGCUGCAUUAGCUAGUUGGUAAGGUAACGGCUUACCAAGGCAACGAUGCAUAGCCGACCUGAGAGGGUGAUCGGCCACACUGGAACUGAGACACGGUCCAGACUCCUACGGGAGGCAGCAGUAGGGAAUCUUCCGCAAUGGGCGAAAGCCUGACGGAGCAACGCCGCGUGAGUGAUGAAGGUCUUCGGAUCGUAAAACUCUGUUAUUAGGGAAGAACAUAUGUGUAAGUAACUGUGCACAUCUUGACGGUACCUAAUCAGAAAGCCACGGCUAACUACGUGCCAGCAGCCGCGGUAAUACGUAGGUGGCAAGCGUUAUCCGGAAUUAUUGGGCGUAAAGCGCGCGUAGGCGGUUUUUUAAGUCUG